GCCCGAGUGGUGAAAUUGGUAGACACAGGGGACUUAAAAUCCCCCGACCUCAUACGUCGUACCGGUUCGACUCCGGUCUCGGGCACCA
Molecule: transfer RNA, 88 nt
Filed under: Orrella sp. JC864
Lineage: Bacteria; Pseudomonadati; Pseudomonadota; Betaproteobacteria; Burkholderiales; Alcaligenaceae
Description: tRNA-Leu
Rfam family: tRNA
About the family: Transfer RNA (tRNA) molecules are approximately 80 nucleotides in length. Their secondary structure includes four short double-helical elements and three loops (D, anti-codon, and T loops).
Source: RNAcentral